UGCGUAGGUGGUUUCUUAAGUCAGAAGUGAAAGGCUACGGCUCAACCGUAGUAAGCUUUUGAAACUGAGAAACUUGAGUGCAGGAGAGGAGAGUAGAAUUCCUAGUGUAGCGGUGAAAUGCGUAGAUAUUAGGAGGAAUACCAGUUGCGAAGGCGGCUCUCUGGACUGUAACUGACACUGAGGCACGAAAGCGUGGGGAGCAAACA
This 206-nucleotide ribosomal RNA is filed under the name uncultured bacterium. Its description in RNAcentral is "partial 16S ribosomal RNA". It matches the Rfam family "Bacterial small subunit ribosomal RNA", at positions 568 to 774 of the family's 1533-position model. The record is from RNAcentral.